RNA transcript from Merops nubicus (carmine bee-eater), 2089 nucleotides. It is a transcript of the gene named myosin-3-like, with no coding region annotated. The record is from RefSeq and is a predicted model, not a curated record. Lineage: Eukaryota; Metazoa; Chordata; Aves; Coraciiformes; Meropidae. The transcript is spliced from 13 exons.
UUGCUGACAAGGCUGCCUACCUGAUGGGUCUAAACUCAGCAGAUCUGCUCAAGGCCCUCUGCUACCCCCGAGUCAAAGUUGGGAAUGAAUAUGUGACCAAGGGUCAAACCGUGCAGCAGGUAUACAAUUCAGUGGGGGCCCUGGCAAAAUCUGUCUUUGAGAAGAUGUUCUUGUGGAUGGUUGUUCGCAUCAACCAACAGCUGGACACCAAGCAGCCCAGACAGUACUUCAUUGGUGUCCUGGACAUUGCUGGCUUUGAGAUCUUUGAUUUCAACAGCCUGGAGCAGCUGUGCAUCAACUUCACCAAUGAGAAACUGCAACAGUUCUUCAACCACCACAUGUUCGUGCUGGAGCAGGAGGAGUACAAGAAGGAAGGAAUUGAAUGGGAGUUCAUUGACUUUGGGAUGGACCUGGCUGCCUGCAUUGAGCUCAUUGAGAAGCCCAUGGGCAUCUUCUCCAUCCUGGAAGAGGAGUGCAUGUUCCCCAAGGCAACUGACACCUCUUUCAAGAACAAGCUCUAUGACCAGCAUCUGGGCAAGUCCAACAACUUCCAGAAGCCCAAGCCUGGCAAAGGCAAGGCUGAGGCCCACUUCUCCCUGGUGCACUAUGCUGGCACAGUGGACUACAACAUCACUGGCUGGCUUGAGAAGAAUAAGGAUCCCUUGAAUGAAACUGUUGUGGGGCUGUACCAGAAAUCAUCCCUGAAGACACUGGCUUUACUCUUUGCCUCUGUUGGUGGGGCAGAAGCAGAGAGCGGUGGUGGUGGUGGCAAGAAGGGCGGCAAGAAGAAGGGAUCUUCUUUCCAGACUGUCUCGGCUCUUUUCCGGGAAAAUUUAAACAAGCUGAUGAGCAAUCUACGAAGCACACAUCCCCAUUUUGUGCGAUGUCUUAUUCCCAAUGAAACAAAAACACCUGGUGCCAUGGAGCACGAGCUGGUGCUGCAUCAGCUGCGCUGUAACGGUGUGCUAGAAGGGAUUCGAAUUUGCAGAAAAGGAUUCCCCAGCAGAAUACUCUAUGCAGACUUUAAACAGAGGUACAAGGUGCUUAAUGCCAGUGCCAUCCCAGAGGGACAGUUCAUUGAUAGCAAAAAGGCUUCUGAGAAGCUCCUUGGAUCCAUCGAUGUGGACCACACCCAGUACAAGUUUGGUCACACUAAGGUGUUCUUCAAAGCUGGGCUGCUGGGACUCCUGGAGGAGAUGAGAGAUGAGAAGCUGGCACAGCUCAUAACCCGCACACAAGCCAUGUGCAGGGGUUACCUGAUGAGAGCGGAGUUCAAGAAAAUGAUGGAGAGGAGGGAGUCCAUCUUCUGUAUCCAGUACAAUGUUCGCUCCUUCAUGAACGUGAAGCACUGGCCCUGGAUGAAGCUGUUCUUCAAGAUCAAGCCCCUGCUGAAGAGUGCAGAGUCUGAGAAGGAGAUGGCCAACAUGAAGGAGGAGUUUGAGAAAACCAAGGAAGAGCUUGCCAAGUCUGAGGCAAAGAGGAAGGAGCUGGAGGAAAAAAUGGUUUCUUUGCUGCAGGAAAAAAACGAUCUGCAGCUCCAAGUGCAGGCAGAAGCUGAUGGUUUGGCUGAUGCUGAGGAAAGAUGUGACCAGCUCAUCAAAACCAAAAUUCAGCUGGAAGCCAAAAUUAAGGAGCUAACAGAAAGAGCAGAAGAUGAAGAAGAGUUGAAUGCUGAGCUGACAGCCAAGAAGAGAAAACUGGAGGAUGAAUGUUCAGAGCUGAAGAAAGAUAUUGAUGAUCUUGAGUUAACACUGGCCAAGGUUGAGAAGGAAAAGCAUGCCACAGAAAACAAGGUAUGAGGCAGAACNNNGGAGAGGGCAGCCUUGGACGAGACCAUCGCCAAGCUGACAAAAGAGAAGAAAGCCCUCCAAGAGGCCCAUCAGCAGACACUGGAUGACCUGCAGGCAGAAGAGGACAAAGUCAAUACGCUGACCAAAGCAAAAACCAAACUGGAGCAGCAAGUGGAUGAUCUGGAAGGGUCCCUGGAGCAAGAGAAGAAGCUGCGCAUGGACCUUGAGAGAGCCAAGAGGAAACUGGAAGGAGACCUGAAAAUGAACCAGGAAUCCAUAAUGGAUUUGGAAAACGACAA